AAAUUGAAGAGUUUGAUCAUGGCUCAGAUUGAACGCUGGCGGCAGGCCUAACACAUGCAAGUCGAACGGUAACAGGAAGCAGCUUGCUGCUUUGCUGACGAGUGGCGGACGGGUGAGUAAUGUCUGGGAAACUGCCUGAUGGAGGGGGAUAACUACUGGAAACGGUAGCUAAUACCGCAUAACGUCGCAAGACCAAAGAGGGGGACCUUCGGGCCUCUUGCCAUCGGAUGUGCCCAGAUGGGAUUAGCUAGUAGGUGGGGUAAAGGCUCACCUAGGCGACGAUCCCUAGCUGGUCUGAGAGGAUGACCAGCCACACUGGAACUGAGACACGGUCCAGACUCCUACGGGAGGCAGCAGUGGGGAAUAUUGCACAAUGGGCGCAAGCCUGAUG
This 391-nucleotide ribosomal RNA is filed under the name Escherichia coli. RNAcentral describes it as "bacterial SSU rRNA". It matches the Rfam family "Bacterial small subunit ribosomal RNA", at positions 1 to 388 of the family's 1533-position model. Lineage: Bacteria; Pseudomonadati; Pseudomonadota; Gammaproteobacteria; Enterobacterales; Enterobacteriaceae. The record is from RNAcentral.